Molecule: transfer RNA, 72 nt
Filed under: Ornithorhynchus anatinus (platypus)
Lineage: Eukaryota; Metazoa; Chordata; Mammalia; Monotremata; Ornithorhynchidae
Rfam family: tRNA
About the family: Transfer RNA (tRNA) molecules are approximately 80 nucleotides in length.
Source: Rfam by way of RNAcentral
GGCAGCGAGGCUCAGUGGAAAGAGCACGGGCUUGGGAGCCGGUGGUCGUGGGUUCUAAUCCCGGCUCCGCCA